RNAcentral lists this ribosomal RNA (163 nucleotides) under uncultured bacterium. Its description in RNAcentral is "partial 16S rRNA". It matches the Rfam family "Bacterial small subunit ribosomal RNA", at positions 355 to 510 of the family's 1533-position model. The record is from RNAcentral.
UAGGGAAUCUUCCACAAUGGGCGAAAGCCUGAUGGAGCAACGCCGCGUGUGUGAUGAAGGGUUUCGGCUCGUAAAACUCUGUUGUUAAAGAAGAACGUGGGUAAGAGUAACUGUUUACCCAGUGACGGUAUUUAACCAGAAAGCCACGGCUAACUACGUGCCA